Molecule: long non-coding RNA, 2836 nt
Organism: Anguilla rostrata (American eel)
Lineage: Eukaryota; Metazoa; Chordata; Actinopteri; Anguilliformes; Anguillidae
Exons: 2
Source: RefSeq, a predicted model, not a curated record
CGCGGGGCGUGUCGCUGCGGUCCGGAGACGAACAGGCGACGCCGUUUCGCACGGCUUAGCGACAGAGCGCGGGCCCGCGACCGCCGACGCGUCGAGCUCGCCGGCGUCAAACAUCGAUCGUUCGCCAGCGUCCGCGGCGGGCGCGGGACAAGCCGCGUACUUCCCGGGGGGGCGAACGCGAAACACGAAAGCCCGCGCGCAUUGUUCCCUGUGAAAAACGUACCGAACACGAGGCUGCUUUUUCCCUUCUUCUUUUUUUUUUUCACGUUGCGACUUGCAUCUAUAAUGGAUGAGAGAGGAGGGAAAAAAGUGUAAAGAAAUAGCAUAUACUUACCGUGCUUAGGAUUAAGACAUACUACCGUAAAAGCCAUCGCAGUCCCGUUAGCCCGGAGGGAGCGUGCGUUGUGUGUCACGCGCCCGCGUCGAAGUGCCGGGUUUUUCAGACGACUUCCGCCUGGGAUCCCGCUCGCGUUGGGUGCGCGCGCGUGCGAAGCUUUAAGUGCCGAUUGGCUCGCGGCCGCCCCGCGCGGGUUCGAAACGACGUUGCCUUAGCGCGCGGUUCGGCUGCCGUUGGGACUCGGAAGUUCUUCAGUCAGGCGCGACUGCGUGCUUGUGGGUUUUGUAGUCUUUUUCUGUCAGGGGAUCUCAUCCUAAAGUGGAACUCAUGCUAAAAUCCUUUCUAAAUCCAGAAGUCCUGAAAAAUUCCAACAGUGGUGACGUUAUUAUUAUUAUAACUAUUAUUAUGAUCAUUAUUAUUAUUAUUAUUAUAUGAUUAAGUGCCUGUUAAUUAUCCCUUUAACCUGCUGUUUUGUGGAGAGUUCCAGGAGAUUGGCUUGAAUGUUUUAGGAUGCACACACGACUGACCCAGAUAGAAGCUCGAUCACAGAAGCCCCGUCUAUUCCUCCCGGUCUUUCCUGUUCCUCAGAUUAAAGAAUGCUCCGGAAACAGUCUCCAUCCGUGUCUAAAUAGUUUUCUGUCCGAGCUGGGGAGGGGUGGAGGGGGGGGUGUGACUGGGGGGGGUCUGAAACCUCCCCUCGAACCGCGCACGUCCGCGCGUCCGAAAGGGAAUCGUUUGGAAAGAGCCGAGCGUGAGACUGGCGGCGGCUCGACAGCGCAGAGAGGAAACGUGUCAUUUCGCCUGAUGUACAUUUGUGUGUGUAAAUAAGUUAUGUUGUCUUGAUGUACCUGCACCAUAAAAAAGUCUGUACUUAAAAAAGUAUUAUGAAUGGAGGAAGAAAGCUAAGCUAGGAGCAGAGUGGGAUUCGUUUGACAGGAUUCGGUUUGGGAUGUGAGAGGCUGUAUUCUAGCACAGCACCUGUAGUGUGCCACCCGGCCUUUUGCACAUUGCGUUGGCCUCUCUGGCCACUUCCUGUCCGUGUUAGGAGUUCCGUGCUGCGCUGCUUUAUUGAGUUUUAUUUCGUUCGUUUUAUUGGCUAAGAGCAUUUAGAACACCGCCUAUGUCUUCAGUUCUCCUUACCUGUAGUGUUCUCUGCUCUCACCUCUGAGGAACAUAUUAUCAUUAUUAUUACUAUGAUUAUUAUGAUUAUUAUUAUUAAAAUGCAGGUGUCUUCAGUAUGGACAUAUUCUGUAUGUGGGAGACAAACCCAAGAAAUUAGAUGUUAUAUGAUGAAAUGCAGAAUUUGUUUUAUUUUUAUAAGCUACUGAAACACUUUACAUGACUAGUGUUCUAAACCAUGCCUGUGAGUCUUGAACUUGCUCUGCUUUCCUGUUUGCUGAGUUUACUACUAAGCAGAGUCUUAGAACAAACGGAAAAACUUAAAACCAUAAAAACGUUUUUUCCUCAAAUAUCUCUCUUCCCUCUAUCGGACACCACCAUUUAUUAAUCAAAAUUGAUUUGAUUUGUGGGUUUCAACAUGCUGUCUGAUGGUUCAGAGCAGUGGUUCUUUGUUUUUAUGGACCUCUGAAUCGACUGAAGGUUUUAGCGUACCAUGUAAAACCGUAAGAUUGCAUAUUCUAAAUGCACAUGCCCUUACUUUUAGUUAUCAAUGGGAUGUGAAUGCCAUUUGUUUGAAUACAUUCUGAAAAAGACCAGCACCAGCUAGCUACAUAUGACUGAUUUCAUUUUCUUCAAAUGUAGUGAUCGCUAGUGGUCCACAGCCCAUAGUUUUGCGAACCCCUGUUUUAGAAAUGGAUUUAAAUUAAAAAUAAAUGGAAACAAACAUUUGUAUAGCUCUCCUACGGAUUUUCAGUUUACAAGAGUACUGCAUUGUUUGCAUUUCACUCAGUUUUUGGAGUGAGAUUAUGGCCAUACAAAAUUCAGGUUUUGUGCAGUUUUUGUUUGUUUUUUUGGUGUCGUCACGUCAUUUACGGUUGUGUUUCUCCCUGAACUGUAUUGGAAAUCCUCUAAGUUGCCAUUAAGGCCUUUUGCGUGUCUUUAACUCCAAUUUGAAUGUCCAUUUUUGAUGAGUUAACCUUUCCGUCCUAUGACUGCAGAACUCACAUUGGCGUGUACAAAUCAACAAAGGCAACAUGCAAUUAAGCAAAUUCCUCAAGGUUAAGGACAAAUCGUAUUGUAUUUAGACUGAAUAGGCCUAGGUUGUAAGCAUGUACAUGAACUAUAAAGUACACAUAAAACCAAUCAUUUUUGACCACAACAUUUUGUACGCUGUCCACACAAACACCCAAAUACACACACACACACACACACACACACACACUCGGAUACAUUCAGCUGAUGCUAUGGCAACUGGUACUUCUGUUUGUGUCAUUUUCUUUUGUUGUUCUGCUGAAUCCAUUAUCGUAGCUUUCUUCAAAUGAAUGUGUGAUAUAAUAAUCAAUCAAUUUCACAUUAAAAGGCUAUAUUUACUAAGAAAAA